Molecule: ribosomal RNA, 824 nt
Filed under: uncultured bacterium
Lineage: Bacteria
Description: bacterial SSU rRNA
Rfam family: Bacterial small subunit ribosomal RNA
Source: RNAcentral
CAUGCAAGUCGAGCGAAGCGAUCGAGAUGAAGUUUUCGGAUGGAUUCCUGAUUGACUGAGCGGCGGACGGGUGAGUAACGCGUGGGUAACCUGCCUCAUACAGGGGGAUAACAGUUAGAAAUGACUGCUAAUACCGCAUAAGCGCACAGUACCACAUGGUACGGUGUGAAAAACUCCGGUGGUAUGAGAUGGACCCGCGUCUGAUUAGCUAGUUGGUGGGGUAACGGCCCACCAAGGCGACGAUCAGUAGCCGACCUGAGAGGGUGAUCGGCCACAUUGGGACUGAGACACGGCCCAAACUCCUACGGGAGGCAGCAGUGGGGAAUAUUGCACAAUGGGGGAAACCCUGAUGCAGCAACGCCGCGUGAGUGAAGAAGUAUUUCGGUAUGUAAAGCUCUAUCAGCAGGGAAGAAAAUGACGGUACCUGACUAAGAAGCCCCGGCUAACUACGUGCCAGCAGCCGCGGUAAUACGUAGGGGGCAAGCGUUAUCCGGAUUUACUGGGUGUAAAGGGAGCGUAGACGGCAGCGCAAGUCUGAAGUGAAAGCCCGGGGCUCAACCCCGGAAUGGCUUUGGAAACUGCGCGGCUAGAGUACCGGAGGGGUAAGCGGAAUUCCUAGUGUAGCGGUGAAAUGCGUAGAUAUUAGGAGGAACACCAGUGGCGAAGGCGGCUUACUGGACGGUAACUGACGUUGAGGCUCGAAAGCGUGGGGAGCAAACAGGAUUAGAUACCCUGGUAGUCCACGCGGUAAACGAUGAAUGCUAGGUGUUGGUGAGCAAAGCUCAUCGGUGCCGCCGCAAACGCAUUAAGCAUUCCACCUGGGG